RNAcentral lists this ribosomal RNA (374 nucleotides) under uncultured organism. RNAcentral describes it as "partial 16S ribosomal RNA". It matches the Rfam family "Bacterial small subunit ribosomal RNA", at positions 527 to 896 of the family's 1533-position model. The record is from RNAcentral.
GAACCGUCCGAACGUUAUUCGGAAUUAUUGGGCUUAAAGGGUGCGUAGGCGGUGCGGCAAGUUGGGUGUGAAAGCUCUCGGCUCAACCGAGGAACUACGCCCAAAACUGCCGUACUCGAGGGAGACAGAGGUGAGUGGAACUUCGGGUGGAGCGGUGAAAUGCGUUGAUAUCCGAAGGAACACCGGUGGCGAAAGCGACUCACUGGGUCUCUUCUGACGCUGAGGCACGAAAGCUAGGGGAGCGAACGGGAUUAGAUACCCCGGGUAGUCCUAGCUGUAAACGAUGAGCACUGGGUCGGAGGGUCCCUCCAUAGCCCUUCCGGCCGUAGCGAAAGUGUUAAGUGCUCCGCCUGGGGAGUAUGGUCGCAAGGCUG